RNAcentral lists this ribosomal RNA (465 nucleotides) under uncultured bacterium. Its description in RNAcentral is "partial 16S ribosomal RNA". It matches the Rfam family "Bacterial small subunit ribosomal RNA", at positions 339 to 795 of the family's 1533-position model. The record is from RNAcentral.
CUACGGGUUGCUGCAGCGGGGAAUAUUGGACAAUGGGCGAAAGCCUGAUCCAGCAAUGCCGCGUGUGUGAAGAAGGCCUGCGGGUUGUAAAGCACUUUCGGUUGGGAGGACUGCUUCUAGCACUAAUAUUGUUGGAAGUUGACGUUACCUUCAGAAGAAGCACCGGCUAACUCCGUGCCAGCAGCCGCGGUAAUACGGAGGGUGCAAGCGGUAAUCGGAAUUACUGGGCGUAAAGCGCGCGUAGGCGGCUAGAUCAGUCGGGUGUGAAAGCCCCGGGCUUAACCUGGGAACUGCAUCCGAUACUGUGUAGCUUGAGUACAGGAGAGGAGAGUGGAAUUCCACAUGUAGCGGUGAAAUGCGUAGAUAUGUGGAGGAACACCAAUGGCGAAGGCAGCUCUCUGGCCUGAUACUGACGCUGAGGUGCGAAAGCGUGGGGAGCAAACAGGAUUAGAUACCCCAGUAGUC